CCCGGUUAGAUAGAUUGAUCCAAAAGAUUAACCAACUCGCAGUUAUUAUGCUAUCCAGAGAUUAUUCCAAUAUGCAAGCCGUGUAGGGAUUGGAUGCAACUGGAGAUCGACCAGCAAAUUCUCUGACCAAGGGUCGGACCAAAUCUUUUUCAUCUAGAAUUCGGAUAAAGAGCUAUCCGAUCAUGGGUCGAAUCAAAGAUUAACCGACCAGGGGUCGGACCAGGCACACGCCGACUAAGGGUCAGGUGAGCCGCCACAAUUAGGCCACUUGAGAGAUGUUGAUAUGGAUCCGAUGAGUCAUAAUGGGCUUGAAUUUUCAUACAUCAUCGGCCAUUCCAAAUUAUUCCUAACAGGAUUAGGACUUAGGUUUUUUCUAAAAUAAUCUUUUAAGAG
This 393-nucleotide long non-coding RNA is filed under the name Elaeis guineensis (African oil palm). RNAcentral describes it as "long non-coding RNA (EGUI_LNC016662)". The record is from RNAcentral. Lineage: Eukaryota; Viridiplantae; Streptophyta; Magnoliopsida; Arecales; Arecaceae.